This is a long non-coding RNA of Drosophila mojavensis, 1051 nucleotides long. RefSeq lists it as uncharacterized. The record is from RefSeq and is a predicted model, not a curated record. The transcript is spliced from 2 exons. Lineage: Eukaryota; Metazoa; Arthropoda; Insecta; Diptera; Drosophilidae.
AGCUAGAGACCUAAAUUUUAUUGUAAAAUAUCCGUGUGAACCACGAGGAUAUCGAGUUUUGCUUCAAAAAUCCCGAUAUCUUUCCAUCGAUAAAAAAUCUUAUCGAAGAUAAGUCAUAAAAUUAUAUCUCAUAUAACUUUAAAGCUAAAGUCUCCAAAUUUUUAAUGUAGAUUAUAUGCAAUUUAUACAACUUUGGUUUUUGUUAAAAUUUACCCCCAACCCCUAUAUCCAACCCAACACAUAUUUGUAAAAGGCGUAUUUCAAAUACUACUGUUUCGGGGGUUCAAACCGAUGUUGCCACAUUCGCUUAUCUUCGCUAAGUUGCCACACUAAGUCAAUCAGCUGACUACAACUGAUCGUAGUAGGCAGUGUGCCCAAUCCGUCUUGAAAUAAAUUUGUCUGUUUUGAGCGAGGGCCGUUUAUUUUGACUCGGCUGCAAUAUUAUGAAUGGAAAUUCUUGCGACAAUUUCUUGAACUUCCGUAAUAUAUUACAGCAUUUUGAAAAUUGAUGUUGUUUUCCAUUCCACCCUGACCAGCGUUCUUACCACCGAUCAGUGAAUGAUAUUUAUUUUUCUGUGAUUUAACCAAUUGAGUGUAAACACUAAAAAGCGUGUAAACUUAAAUAUAGUGAGUAAACACUAAAAAGAUCACAUACACAAGAAUGGACAUUCGUCAAUUUUUCGUUAAAAGACCUAGGUUAGAAAAUCAGAAGAUUUCAUUUAGGACAUUUAGCGACAAAACACGUUCAUUGAUGCAUUGAAUCAUUGUUGCGAGUCCCACGGUUCAUCGGUAUUUGCAAAUUGCUGCGACGCUUCCCGUCUCUGUUGCUCCGAGCGAACGCUCCCUUUCUUCACUAAGGAGGCUGAAAACGUACCUAAGAAGUACAAUGGGUCAAGAGAGGUUAAACGGACUAGCUUUGCUCAACAUCCACUCUAAAAUUGAAGUCACUCCAGAGGAUAUUUUGAACGAAAUGGCAAAAACAAGUCGGAAAAUAGACAUUAUUUUGUAGAAAAAAAUUUGAAAUAAAGGUCAUCCAUUAUAUUAUUAAGUA